Molecule: ribosomal RNA, 534 nt
Filed under: uncultured bacterium
Lineage: Bacteria
Description: partial 16S ribosomal RNA
Rfam family: Bacterial small subunit ribosomal RNA
Source: RNAcentral
UGGGGAAUAUUGCACAAUGGGCGCAAGCCUGAUGCAGCCAUGCCGCGUGUGUGAAGAAGGCCUUCGGGUUGUAAAGCACUUUCAGCGAGGAGGAAGGUGGUGGACUUAAUACGUUCAUCAAUUGACGUUACUCGCAGAAGAAGCACCGGCUAACUCCGUGCCAGCAGCCGCGGUAAUACGGAGGGUACAAGCGUUAAUCGGAAUUACUGGGCGUAAAGCGCACGCAGGCGGUUUGUUAAGUCAGAUGUGAAAUCCCCGGGCUCAACCUGGGAACUGCAUUUGAAACUGGCAAGCUAGAGUCUCGUAGAGGGGGGUAGAAUUCCAGGUGUAGCGGUGAAAUGCGUAGAGAUCUGGAGGAAUACCGGUGGCGAAGGCGGCCCCCCUGGACGAAGACUGACGCUCAGGUGCGAAAGCGUGGGGCAGCAAACAGGAUUAGAUACCCUGGUAGUCCACGCUGUAAACGAUGUCGAUUUGGAGGUUGUGCCCCUUGAGGCGUGGCUUCCGGAGCUAACGCGUUAAAUCGACCGCCUGGGG